This 420-nucleotide ribosomal RNA is filed under the name uncultured soil bacterium. Its description in RNAcentral is "bacterial SSU rRNA". It matches the Rfam family "Bacterial small subunit ribosomal RNA", at positions 26 to 474 of the family's 1533-position model. The record is from RNAcentral.
AGAACGAACGCUGGCGGCAUGCCUAAUACAUGCAAGUCGAACGAACUCUUCGGAGUUAGUGGCGCACGGGCGCGUAACGCGUGGGAAUCUGCCCCUUGGUUCGGAAUAACAGUUGGAAACGACUGCUAAUACCGGAUGAUGACGAAAGUCCAAAGAUUUAUCGCCAAGGGAUGAGCCCGCGUAGGAUUAGCUAGUUGGUGAGGUAAAGGCUCACCAAGGCAACGAUCCUUAGCUGGUCUGAGAGGAUGAUCAGCCACACUGGGACUGAGACACGGCCCAGACUCCUACGGGAGCAGCAGUAGGGAAUAUGGACAAGUGGGACGAAAGCCUGAUCCAGCAAUGCCGCGUGAGUGAUGAAGGUCCGUUAGGUUAGUAAAGUCUUCUUUACCCGAGUAUGAUAAUGAACUAGUAGUACGGAAG